RNAcentral lists this transfer RNA (72 nucleotides) under Mesalina olivieri. RNAcentral describes it as "tRNA-Asp". Lineage: Eukaryota; Metazoa; Chordata; Lepidosauria; Squamata; Lacertidae. The record is from RNAcentral.
GAGGGCCUAGUAAAUUAAUUACAUAGUUCUGUCAGCACUAAAUUAUGGGAAUCAAUAAACCCAUGGCCCUCA